ACCAGUACAGUAAAUUAUAAAUGUAUUUCUAUAAAAUUUAAUUUUCAUAUAUUAUUUCUAUAAAAGUUAUAAUAUUUUUAAAUAUAUUCCUCUGAUUUGUUAUCGUUAUAAAACUGUCUAUAUUUUAAAUAAAAUAUCAAUUUUACCAUCACAAAUAUGGGGCAAAAACAUCAAGUUAUCUAAUUAAGUAUUUAACCUAUAAUUAACUAAAAUUUUUUAACGAAUUCUGACGACAGGAACAUAUUUAAAACAUUAGAAUUUUUAUAAAAAUUAAACUUUAUAAAAAAAUAUAUAUUUAUAAUUCACUAUUUUGGCAGGGACGCUUAUGAAAUUAACCAAAUAAAAUAACAAAUUAAUAUACGCUUUUAAAACUU
Molecule: long non-coding RNA, 374 nt
Filed under: Ananas comosus (pineapple)
Lineage: Eukaryota; Viridiplantae; Streptophyta; Magnoliopsida; Poales; Bromeliaceae
Description: long non-coding RNA (ACOM_LNC016959)
Source: RNAcentral